Molecule: ribosomal RNA, 505 nt
Filed under: uncultured bacterium
Lineage: Bacteria
Description: bacterial SSU rRNA
Rfam family: Bacterial small subunit ribosomal RNA
Source: RNAcentral
GAUUCUGGCUCAGGAUGAACGCUGGCGGCGUGCCUAAUACAUGCAAGUGAAACGGGUAUCUUCGGAUACCAGUCGCGGACGGGUGAGUAAUACAUAGGCAACCUGCCUUUAUGAGGGGGAUAACCGAGGGAAACUUUGGCUAAUACCGCAUGAAGACUCCAAGGCAUCUUAGAGGGAUAAAAGUUGGGAAACAACGCAUGAAGAUGGGCUUAUGGCGCAUUAGCUAGUUGGUGAGAUAGAAGCCCACCAAGGUAAUGAUGCGUAGCCGACCUGAGAGGGUGAACGGCCACAUUGGGACUGAGACACGGCCCAAACUCCUACGGGAGGCAGCAGUAGGGAAUUUUCGGCAAUGGGGGGAACCCUGACCGAGCAACGCCCGCGUGAAGGAAGAAGGUUUUCGGAUUGUAAACUUCUGUUAUAAGGGAAGAACGGAUUGGAUAGGGAAUGAUCUGAUAGUGACGGUACCUUAUUAGAAAGCCACGGCUAACUACGUGCCAGCCGCGGC